This is a long non-coding RNA of Bactrocera dorsalis (oriental fruit fly), 13164 nucleotides long. RefSeq lists it as uncharacterized. Lineage: Eukaryota; Metazoa; Arthropoda; Insecta; Diptera; Tephritidae. The record is from RefSeq and is a predicted model, not a curated record. The transcript has 3 exons.
UGUUGAUGUAUCGAUGGUCGAACUGCAAGUGUCUGCUUUCCCGUUGCCCAUCCUUUUUGUGAGUGGGUGCAUAGCUAUGGUGAGUUGUGUUGGUGUCAUCAGCUGUGGUGAAUCAAGCUGUUUUAUUAAGGUUCGCCAGUUUUCUCGGUUAAAGUGGGGGGAUGCUUAACUCAUUUAAACAAUUUGCAUUUAAAGUUGAAAAUUUUGCAAAUUUUAUCUUGCAAUUUCUCGAUUUCUAGUAAUUAUUUAUUUCAUAUUAUGCACUUUUUAUGCACUUAUACUUCAUUGCAUUGUUUCUACAUAUUUAUUUUUUAGUAAUUAUUUAGUUAUUAGCUUAAAAUAAGCAUGUUAUAUUUUACACAAUUUUCAUUCCAUGCACAAUAACAAAAGUAUUCCGUGUUUACAGAUAUUAAGUGUUUCCAUAAUUACACAUUUAUUAAACGAAUAAGAAUGGAUAUAAAAACUCAAACGCAGAAAACAAAUACGAUCUGAAAUAAAUUUUCCAUUGUAAUAAAAAAAGUUUUAAGGCUUAUAAGUAUGUUUAAUCUAAUAAUUUAAUAAAAGGAUCAUAAUGAUUAUUUGCAAUACAACAAAGGUAAAACAGGGUAAACAUUAGUCCAUUCGCGUCCCACUUCUUUCUGCAUUGGCGGCCUUCGGCCGCACUUCGAAAAAGUCGGAUUUUUUUUUGAGUAAAACCUCUUUUUGCGUUGGCGGCCUUCGGCCGCAAAUCAAAAAAAAUAACCCUGGCCGAUCCAACACCGGGGUGUGUCGGAUUUUUUUUGAGUAAAACUCCUUUUUGCGUUGGCAGCCUUCGGCCGCGCUUCAAAAAAAAUCACCCUGGCCGAUCCAACACCGGGGUGUGUCGGAUUUUUUUAUGUAUUUGGGGUAUAAUCUUAUUUUUUAUUCAUUUUUAUUCGUUUGAUAAAUGUGUAUUUAUGGCAACACUUAUUAUCUGUCAACACGGAUUACUUUUGUUAUUGUGCAUGGAAAGAAAUUUGUGUACAAUAUAAAAUGCUUAUUUUAAGCAAAUAACUAAAUAAUUGCUAAAAAAAUAAAUAUGUAGAAACAAUGUAAUGAAGUAUAAGUGUAUAAAAAGUGCAUAAUAUGAAAUAAAUAAUUACUAGAAAUCGAAAAAUUGCAAGAUAAAAUUUGCAAAAUUUUCAACUUUAAAUGCAAAUAUCUCGAAAACUAUAAGUUUGCGGCAACAAUUAUAUAUUUUCUUAAUCUGGAGCAGCAGCUCUAUCCAACAAUACUACUGAAAUCGUGGGAUGGUAGACUAAAGCCGACCCUUGUUCCGGAGUAAAUCAUUUCAUUUUGAAAUUCCAAGCCAAACUUAGUGUAAAUCAAGUAACAGCUGUCAAAAAUAUAAAAAGUAUUGCCUCAUUGAAAAUAAUUUAUCUUGGUUAGCAUUGCGGUAAGUAAAUUCAAGUUUUGAUUAUACUAUUGUUACGUUUCUGUGUUUUCAUACUUAUAUUAGGAAAAAUAGUAAAAGUAGUGGCAAAAAAAGCGCAAAGAAAUUGUAGUUGAAUUCCUUAGGUAAAUAAUAUUUCAUAAAGAAUGUAUUUGGCUAAGUUGGUAGGACUGCCCUUAAUAACUUUGCCAAACAUGAGCGCGAUCUGUCAACCUGUCUGUCGACUGUUUGUUUACAGCAGCUACUUUAGCUGACACUUAAUCACACGACUUCGGCUGUUGAGUGGUUUAUCCCACUAAUCUUUUAAAUUUAUCAAGAUUUCGCCAUACAAAAAUGACAGUUCCAAUCACUUCACUCCGACGCUGAUUUUGCGCCAUCUACUUGUCAGCAUUGGAAAUCUGUUACAUUAUCACAGCUGAUUUAGACACUACAAAAGGUAAAAAAUGUAAAGAAACAAUUUUUUUUAAAGCAAUGAAUCUAAUUUCACCUGAAAAACGACUUAACAAAUGAACUAAAUGCAUCCACUAUUUCUAUUAUAUGGAAAAUAUUUGAAAAAAGACGGCUUUUAUUUCAAAAUACUAAUGACAAUCUUUUCUUUUGAUAAAUAUUAAGCGAUGUGACUUCAUGAAUGACAAUAACAGCUGUUUUUUGAUCUUGCUAAUGAUAGUGAGAACACUGUUUGGUUAUGAAAUGCUUAAAUGUAAUCUAAUCUUUUAAAUUUUCGGUCUGAACAUGGUAUUAGUCGGUACACCUGAGUAGUGUGUUGUGAUUUUUACAAUGGAUAAAAAUUCCAACAAAGAAUUUGUCUAAAAUUUUUUAUUUAUAACAAAGUUUCUUGUGCGAAAGCAUUGCGAAUAUUGGAAAAAGCUUACGCUAAUGAAUAUAUUAAAAAAGUGAAGGAUAUGGUGCUUGAAAAUCGUCAUGCAAAUGUUAAAGAGAUGGCAAGAGAGUUCGACAUCUCUCGCGAGUCCAUUCAAAUGAUUUAGUGGAUAUUUUGGGUAUGAAAUGCGUUCUAGCUCGACUCGUCCCGAUAAAGCUUAAUUUUGUGACCAAUUUAAACCCGUUUUGAAUGCCAUCGAUCAACCACCGUGUUCACCAUAUUUGUCUCCGUGUGAUUUUUUUUGUUUCCCAACCUGAAUUGCCGCUCCGUUUAAUCCGUUUUCAGUCCAUCGAAGUGAUACAACAAAAUUCGCGUAAGGUCAUUCCAAAAAGUGCUUAUGAAAAGUGUUUCGAGGUCUAGAAAAGUUGACAUAAGAAUAUUGCAUCUGAUUGACUUUUACAUUUCGACAAGAAGCUUAUCUGCUCAAAUGGGUGUAAGCAGACAGUCAUUACAGUCAAUUAUGCACAAAGAUUUGGACUUAUUCCCACAUAAAAUUCAAAUGGCCAACAAACUGAAUGCUGCAGACUUGCCGAUUCGCUUGGAAUUUUGCCAGAAGAUGCUUCAAAUGGUGGAAGAGGAUGGAAACAUGUUGAACUGUCUUUUCAUGUCUGACGAGGCCCAUUUCGAUUUAAACGGCAACAUAAACAAACAAAAUUGUCGAAUAUGGAGUGCUUCCAACCCACAGAUACUCCAUUGCAUCCACUUCGUGUCACAGUGUGGUGUGCAGUUUCAUUACGCUGCAUUGUCGGGCCCUACUUCUUCGAAGAAAACGGGCACACCGUUACGGUUACUGGAGACCGUUACUUGAGCAUGUUGAGAGAGUUUUUCUAUCCAGAAUUACGCCGAAUGAGAAUUUCUUUCAACUCUGUGUAGUUUCAGCAAGAUGGUGCAGCUCCUCACAUAGCCCAACCUGUUAUGACAGAAUUGCGACGAAAAUUUCCCAAUAAGCUGAUAUCCAGAAACUCCACAUUCCGCUGGCCACCCAGGUCGCCUGACCUUACUGCACCUGACUUUUUCUUGAGGGGUUAUUGCAAACAGGAAGUCUACAAAGCAAAACCAACAAAUUUGAAUGAACUAAGGCAAUCCAUUCGAGAAAUAAUUGCGGCUAUUCCUGUCUCAACUCUCCAAGCAGUAAUUAACAACUUUUUGGUAAGAUGCCGCACAUGCAUCAACGAGCAGGGGGGCAUUUAAAUUCCAUUAUUUUUAAAACUAAUUAAGCUAUAUUUAAUAAAAUUGAAUGAGCUUUAACAUGAAUAAAAUAAAAUGAAUUCCAUACACUGAAAAAAAAUUAUUUGAGUUUCUUAAUGUAGCAAAAUUCACCAGCCACCCUGCAUGUAUCUGCCACAUACUUCUGAGAAACAAAAACUUGUUAAUUUUGAUAAUUGAAGGGACAGCUUUUAAUAUACUUACUUUGGAUAAUAAUUGGUUAUUUCCUUUUUUAAGCUUUAAAAAAAUCUAACAUUUGAACUUUUUAGACGAAGAUAGCUAUUGGAAAACUAUGCAUGAAUUAGAUGAAAAUCUUACAGUUAUCUUAUCGAACCAUCCCGGAAAUUAUCAAAAUGUGCCUAAGUGUUUGAAAUGAAGAUCUAAUGCUCUUGAAUAUUUAGACGAAGAACGUUUCCAACAAAUGCUCCGAGUCACAAGUGAUCAUUAUUGAUCAAAGACAGUACACAGUUAAACAACGAUGAAUCUAUUAGGCAAUUUUCGGUAGAUCUACACCUAACUAUAACCGUAUAUCCUUUGGGUUAAUCGAGUACGGCGAUUUGAAAAGUAGCUACACUGUUUGGAGUAGGAGAUGGUGAAACACUUUACAAUAUUACAAAUCGAGUAUUUUCGUAUUUUUUGGAAUUAAAAUCUAGAUAUAUCACUUGGCCAAAUACGAAUGAAAAACAAGAUAUCGUUAACCGUGCGAUUCUGAUACAGUUUCAAGUCUCUAAAUUUAAGAUUUUAAGUUAGAAAAAAUUUUUGUGACUUGAGACGAAUUCGUUAUUCUGUAAGUGACAGUCAUUAAAAAUUUGCGAGUCUCUCAACUGAAAGCGAACAGGUCUGACCAUCUGUCACAUUUCCUUAUUUAGAGAUGUAUGUAAAACCUGAAUCAAAAAAUACUGUCGAUAACAAAUAUUAAAUUAUCUUUAACGCUGUAAAAAAGCUUAAUUACCAAUAAAACUAAAAAUAAAAUGUUGUAUUUCAAAUACGAUAGAGCUAAAAUUUAUGUGAAAUUGAUUUUUUUUUUUUACUUUUACUUGAUUGAGUUUUGUAUAAAACAUAAACACCAACAAUCGAUUACUAUCUGUGAUGAUCUCUUUAAGUGAAUCGUCAAUACAUUCAAAAUGGAAAACAAAGGUAACUAAGCGUUUAAUUAAAUAUUUGCUGUUAUAUUCCUUUACUUGUAUAUAAUUAAUUGUUACAUUUGCAGAAUCAUUGCGGACAACAAAAGAGCAAAUUGAAUGCUCUUUAGCAUUUCUAAGAUCACAAAAAUUAUCCCACGCGACCAAAAAGGUUGGAAGAGCUGUGGAUCGAGCUUUGUCAGCAGCUAAAUGCUUUGAAAGGUCCAUCAUUUCGCCUACGAAAUGGAAGGAGGCAAAUCCUUACAUAUACAAAUAUAUAUAUUUACUAGAGGACCCGCCUACGUUUUACUGUGGCUGAUACAUAGGCUACAUGGCUGAUACAUAAGUAUUAGUUAAAGAAUAAUCGAAUUUUUGAUGAAGCAAAAAAAAUGAAUCAAAAAGCAUUUCGUGUGUUAAGAAAGAAUUGGUUUUUGCGGUAAAAAUACUAUUGAAUUUGGGCUGUGCAUCAGUGAAAUCCAUCGAGUCCAAUUGAUUGUCAGCCUGGUGGACUGCAUAUUAAGAAACGGUUCUCAAGCGUGGAAAGACAAAAAAAUCGACUGGCAAGGUAAUGGCAUCAGUCUUUUGGGAUGCCCGUGGUAUAUUAUUCAUCGAAUGAUAAAUGAGCCAGUUUUAAUUCAUUGCAUUGUGUACUUGAUUUCAGUUCUAUUCUACCAUUCCCAAUAUUUAGCAAUUUUAUUAUUUUUCAGAAAGGAUCAGUUUGAAAUUGUACGCAUGUAUGCAUGUAUACGUCGUUCCCGUUUAAAUAUUGUAUUGCUCUGUGCAAUGCUUCGAAAAUAUUUCUGUAUAUCUCAAAUUUUUUAUCAACACUUCAGUUAUGCCCCUAUUUUUUUAUGCCAGACCUUUUGCAAUUUUAAAUUGCCUGUCAAGAUACCCCCUCCAAUAGUUAGCAGGUAUGAAAAAAAUGUUAUAGCUACCCAUAGAUGUAUUGAAUCACCCAAUUUAUUACUUAAGAACGAACUCUGUCCUCAAUAUAAAAACUUGAUCCACAGAUGUCGCUUUUACUUUGGCAUCGUUUUGUUUAAUGCACGUUUACGCCAAUUUAAGGUUUGAAUAUUGGAUACUGCGAUGGUAGCGCCAUCUAUCGGUCAAACAUUCCAAAAUUAACAAUUGAUUAAAAAUGAAAAAAUAAUUUAAAAAACAUUUUCCAGUGGACCAAAUUGUAAAUCUAUACCAUUCUCGAACCUCCUUGAACAUACACACAAAAUUUCAUCAAAAUCGGUACAUCCGUUUAGGAGCAGUUCAAAUGCAAACACACGGUCAGAAGAUUUAUAUAUAUAAAGAUAUUCAUUAGGAUGCUCCUAAAAAAAUUUGAUUUUUUUUUCAACUUUUACCCCCUUUUUUUAGUGUCCUAUUCAUUUAACAUAUCGCGACAAAAUUAUUAUUCUCAGAAACGUUUUUUUAUUUUUAUUGAAAAAAUUCCAAAUUUCCAAUCACUAUGUUUAAUUGUCUAAUUGAGAUAAUCAAACUUUGUCACGGGAAUUUUUAAAUUUUUAAUAUGUAAUGGUUAUUUUUGAGAAAUAAAAAUUAAUUGGUGAAAUUUAGUUUGAUUGAAAAAGCGAAAAUUCCUAUGUUAAGUAAAAAGGAAACUAAAAAAAAAACGAAGCGACCCUUUAGAGUUAAGCUACAGCGCCUGGCUUGAGGGAGGAUUCUUUUCGUCAAUCACUAAAAUUUGAGGGGGUAAGAGUCGAAAAAAAAUUCAAAUUUUUUUUUGAAGCACCCUAAUAUACAUAUAUUUCAAUUGAAAUAAAUAUCUUGUUUAUUUCACAGUGUUUUAACCAUUGGAAACCCCAGAUUCCGAGUUGGAAGAGCUGGCAAUGGAAGCAUUAGGGAGGACCGUGGUUGAUGGACUGCCUGAUGUCCCAACUAUAGGAGUAGAGGUAUGAUUAAAUAAAAUCUUUGCGUAUAUGUUUAUAUACAAAUUUUUUUUAAGUAAAUAAAAUGGAAUGAUAGUUUCUUUUUACGUUUAGAACGACAUUAUAAUCCAUAUACAGUAGAGGCCCGCUAACCCGGAUCAAUUAAAACCGGCCCCUAUCCGGAAUAUAAAGGAAUCCGGGCCAGCGCGAUAUUUUUUUCCCUAGUAUAGGUUGACAGCUGCAACCAAUUGUCAUCGGCUCGUCUCAUACUAAGCUCAGUUUCUAUAUAGCACUCGAGCUGUGAACACGUGUUAUAACCUCUCUGCGACAACAAAAAGAAAUUCGACACUCCGAAAGUUUUUUUCAACUCUGUGUACAGUUGAUUUUUUUCACAUUUUCCAAUAAAUUCAUCCAGGUAAAUAUGUUUAUAAUAUUAGUUGAGCCUUUAGCCUUCGACACACGGAAUUUACAUUGUGUUCAUUAUUCACCGCCAUUUUGCAAAUAUGAGCGUUUGGGGAAUCUCGGGAAUCUCUUAUUACGGGGAAUGUCGGGCCACAUAGUUUUUUACAUUUGACAUGCUAACUUCAUAUAUUUGACGUGUAUAAGUGAUUUUUCGUGCAGAAUUUCAACAACACAAUAGUUUUUCUCAUUUCCUGAUAGUUUCGUGCUCCGAAAAUUUUUUUUAGUCAUUAUGCCGCGGUACUAUCCCAAACAAGAGAAAAUUGUUGAUUUCGACAACAUUCUGGAGGCGAUCAAGUCGGUGAAAAUACAUCACAACAGCGUUCGACAAUCUGCGAGGGCACACAAAAUUCCGAGGACCAACCUGAUGCGUUAUAUUGCAGCAUUUGAUGGAAAACGAAAAUAUUUUUAAAUGUUGCUUUCUCCAAUAAAAAUGCAAAUUGAGACCUUACCUCAAACAAUCUCAAAUAGUGACUAGAGACUGCUUACAGAAUCGCGUUAUAAAACAACAUACAAUAAGAUGCCGCAUUACAUAAGGUAUAUUGAUGGUACUGAACUGAAACUUGAAGAAGCACCAGUUGUUAACCAUUCAGCUAUUUUACAAAAAGCCGAAUCUAUUCCAUAAAGGCACAAGCUGUAUGCGAUUAUCUGUUAAGGAUUCGUCACAGGGAUAAUGGGAUGCCCAACUUAUUCCAGUGUGAGAGCGCCUCAAAAUAAGCGUUUUUUAUAACAUUUUCCAUUAUGACCAGAUCGAACAAAAUAAGAAUUUUUGGGCAUUUUAAAUUAAAAUACCCAACAUUAUUUACGAUUGCAAAUUAUUAUAUAUUGGACUUUUAAUAUAUGGCGAAACUACUUAAUUCCUUUUUUAUGAUUUUAUGGUAUUUUAAAACAACUGACUUUCGAUCUUUCAAUACUUAAUAAGGUGAAUUAAGCCUGUUAGUUCUCAAAUAAUAAAUGUUUUUAAUCAAUUGUAAUAGAAAAUUAAUUCUAUUAUGCUUCAAAUUACAAAACGUUUUAUGAAAUAUAUUUCAAUUUCGCAUUUUCUUUGAUUUUCAUUGUUUUAAAUUUUUAUUAGCCAUCUUGAACGGCGGCAACAAAUCCCUCCGUUUUCAUAUUUUUUGGUAAGAUUUCAGUCUGGCCAUCGCUCGUUUCCAAUUGCUAAACGUCAAAACCUCCUCAAUCCAGUCAACUGUCAAAGUUGAGGUGGUUUUGACGUUUAGCAAUUGUUCUCUCACUUCCAGUGAGAGAGGAGUUGGACAUCUCAUUAUCUCUGAUUCGUCGUGUAGUAGCAGGACACUGGUAGUGUACACAAUGCUGGCAUGUUUCGUACUACUGCUCUCUCAACUCAGCAAGAUUCACUUUUUACUUUUAUCACGCCAUUUCGCUCAAAUUCACAAAAAAUGGACUAUUCAAAGCGUAAAGCUUUAAACUUGCAGAUAUCGCGUGAGGAUUGAACAUUGCUUUGGGAUUCUAAAAGAACGCUUUGGAAGCCUCAAAGAAUUAAGAAUACGUAUUCAGGACGAAAAAAAGUCAUAUUCAAUGUUCCAACUGGUUUAUUGUUUGCUGUAUAUUGCAUAACAUCUUACGAGCUACUUCUAACGAUAUUGAAAACGUAGUUGUCGAUUGACUACAACCUUUUCGCCAGGUGGAAACGUUUAGAACGUAGUUAUGUACAUACAUAGCGGUAUUGGGUAUACCAACUACAGUUUUGUGUAACUAUUUACAUAAGAUCAUACUUACGAAACUUAAAGGAAUAAGCUAACUGUCAUAAAUAAUCAUAAAUAAAUACAAAUGUAAUUAUUAAAUUAAUUGAAAUAAUAAUUUCGUACAUAGCAACUCUUUCUUUAAUUUCUAAUUCUAUCAACUUAUAUUUUUCAUCUGUUUCUAUUUUUUUAAUUCUGUAUCUAAUUUUUGAACUCACUAUCUAAUUUUCUUUCUUGAAUUUUCUUCCCUUCUGCGAACUUAUACUUGUCAAAUUCCAGAUUCUUAGCUAUCCAACGGAAGAUUUCAGUGGCCGACUUGACCGUUGGAAUGCUAAUAUCGCGGUGGAAAUUGCUGGGAUCUAAGGUGUGGCAUUCGAUGGCGCACCAGGAACACAUUCCUCUUCUAAGAAUUCUACUUCGCAUUCUGGUGCACGACUAGCUGGACACAUGUAGCUGAAGCGAAGGCAGGUUAUUUGUAACCAACAACGGGUGAUCCAAGAAUGAUAGAAUACAAGAUUACGACACUAGUUUACCGUUAGUUUUUUUCGGUUUAGCUCUUGACAAUUCUUACAAAAACAAGUACAUUGUGCAACAAUUUCGUGACGUCACACUUGGGCGUUGAGAAGAACAAGCAUAGAAAUGCAUACAAAUUGUAAACAGAAAAGUUAACACUUUUGGAAAUUCCCAAAAUAAUAUUAAUUCAUUCGUCUUUGCAGCAAAAAUUUCAGUGGAAUGUUUAGAAUAUUGUUGCGAGAAAAGAUAUAUGUAAGUAGUUUUAGGCACAUCCACAAUAAAUAAAGUAGCAUGUGUGGAAAUUGUUCAAAUGAAGAAAACCAGUGAAAGUGUACUGUUGUAUUUAUUUAAAUUUCUAAGCAUAAAUAUUUUAAUUUUUUAAAAUGAAAUGUGCAGUGGCUUGUUGUAAUAAUUAUUAUGCAAUUAAAGGAUCGAAAACGAAUUUUUGUCAGUUUUUCGGCCGAUUUAAAAGUUGCCAAAAAAUGGGUGUUAUUUUUCAAAAGAAAUGAUAUAUUUAAUACUAAAUCCUCUUUAAUUAAUUAAUUUCACAAUUCUUUUAUCAUAAUUUCAUACAUCUGAACUUAUAAUAUAUGUAUAUAUUUAUAUACAACACAAGAAACGUCUUCUCCAUUUGAAUCACAACUUAAUAGACAAUUUUAUUAUCAAUAGGCCGAUAUAUUUCUUUAGAAAUGAUUCAAAUCUUUUCACUCAACAAUAUUCAAUCGCUUCACUAAAAGUUUUCAUUAAAAUCGAAAGAAUUAAUAAUAUUUUGCGAAUUUACAAAAGUGUUCACUUUUCUGUUUGCAAUUUGCAAGCCAUUUGACAGUUUUUCACUCUUGUUCUUCUCAACACGCAACUAUGACGUUUCAUAAUGGCGGUUGUCGUAAUCUUGUAUUCUAUCAUUCUUGGGUUGAUCGGUAACGGCUUUCCAAAUAUUUCCUUCAGAUGGUCGUAAGAGCCACUCACUCUCUUUCCAGUUCUUCUUUGGCCUUUUCCUCUUCGCUUGGGGCGCACCUUCAGUAUUCAUUCUUAUCAGAAACUAUAAAAAUUGUUUAGAAUUUAAAUAGAAAUUAUUAAAUCUAUUUCAAACUUACCCUCUUCAACAAUUUAACGGGUAAAUAUGUCUUUGUGUAAAGUGACAGCUGACACAGGGUUGCAAUUAUUUUUCAUCAUUGCACGAAAAUAAACAUGGGUUUUGUCUUACAAAUUUUACAGCCAUUGCAAAUAUUUUUCUGCGUGAUUUGUUGUUGUGUCGUUGAACCAAUUGGAAAAUUCCAAAAUUCGUGCAAUACGUGCACCGUGCAAGGAUUUUGCAAGAGAAAGAGAAUCCCCCUAUUAUAUUGAUUAGAUUAUCAUUUUCGACGCCUAACCUUAGCUUUUUUCGAUUAUCAUUAGAUGAAAAUAAAUAGAUGCUAUACAAGUAAGGAAGUAAGGAAGAGCUAAGUUCGGAUGCAUCUGAAUAUGCAAGAAUCAAAGCCAGGAAAUUACCUCAUGAUGCGAAACGUCAAUCAGAGGUUUGGAAUCCAAGCAAUUGUUUAUACAUAGCUCAUACACUUACUGAAAAAUUCGGCAUAAGGUUUAUUGGAAAACUUAAAAUCAUUAUAUGCAGUAUAUGGGAGUUGCGUAUAGUAAUGAUUCGAUUUUAUCUAUUUUUACCAAUACCACAUAAUAUUAACAUGCCACAUACUAAGAACUGUUCACUGGGUUUCAUAAACUACCUCACAUCCAAUCACCAAUCAUAUGGAGUAAAAUCAGCCGGAUGUUCGAAAACUCUGAUAAUAGGGUCAAACCACGUCAAGUGGUCCAGAGAAAUUUUGCAAAAUCACCGAUUUUGAAAACUAGCAGUUCAUUAGGAGGGGGACCACAUGCAUACCCGGUGAAAUAAAUAUUUCGUAACAAUUUAUUUUUGUUAAAGUUAGUAACUAUGAUAGAAAAAAUAAUUUUACAAUUUUAUCGUGCUCAUCCAUCUAUAACUUUAACAAAAAAAAAGUUUACGAAAUAUUUAUAUCACGAAGUAUGCGUCUGGUCCCCUUCAUAAUGAACUGUUAAUUUUCUAAUUCGGUGAUUUUGCAAAUUUUCCUGGACUUCACGUCGUUUGACCCAUUAGUUAGAUCAAGAUUUAGCUCAAUUUUAUACAUAUUUAUAAAACUUUUGUAUUUUUAACAUAUCUAUUGAAUACUUACUCAAGUCAACGCUUAACGCCAUCUGUUAGAAUAUCUUGGAGCUAACGGAUAAUUAUGACUGUCAAAUAAUAGACAAAGAAUUUGAAAUAAUAUAAUAUUGCGAUUAUAAAUUGAGAUGUAAGCUAUCCUAUCAAUAAAAAAUAAUUUGCAAUAAAAUAUUCAAUUAAAAUUAUUAGUGCUUCAUUGUUCAAUUGUUUAAUUAAAAUAUAUACAUGUAAAUGUUGUUUAAUUAAAAUAUAUACAUGUAAGUACUAUCACGGAGGAUGGAGCAACGUGCCACGCAAGUAAGGAAAGUUCUCUGAUAGCCAUUCACUUAGGGGUGGCCAGAAACGAUUAUCUAUACUAAUUAUAUAAAAUCGCUUAUAUGAAAAAUGUUUGUAACGGCUAAUCUCCUAAAGUUCUGAAGCGAUUUUUAUAAUUUUUUUUUUUAAAUAAAGCAUUUGCUCUAGGCUCGCGAGUGGUAUACUUUUUUUUUUAAUUUUCCGAAAUCAAAUCCUUUUUCUUUCGGGUUGAAGUUUUUGAAAAACCAAAAAUAUUGCAAGCAUAAGGUUUUUCGUUCACCAAACGCAGUCUACAGCGAAGCGCGCUUUGUGUGUGUGCGUGUGCCCUUUAUCGUUUGCGGCACGCACUCUCUCUCUCUUCCAUCUCUGCACAUCUUUUCCAGCAUAACGUAAUGAAGUAAAGUACAUACAUAUGUACAUAUGUAUGCACUCUCUCUUCCAUCUCUCACAUCUUUUCUACAUAACUUAUUGAAGUAAAGUACAAAGCAAAAAAGUUUGCAUAUAUAAAUGAUCGCAGAACAAGUGAAAUAACGCUAAACAGCACAAUCAAAUGCUCGCAUAAAUUGCCGUAUGUAUGCAUGUAUGUAGUUAUGUAAAUACAGUGUCAACUAUAUUUAUUCUGUUUUACAGCUACUUAUUUUGCAGCAACGCACCGUUGCUUGAAUUACUUUUCUUAUUGUCUUUGUACUUUUUUGUAACAAAGCACAUUGAAAAUAAAAACAGAACGCUCUCCGUAAGGAACAUCCAAAAACCAAUAAAAUCAAAUAUUAAGAUGUAAUGUGGUUUUCAUGUGUGUCUGCGAAAUACUUGCUGGUUUCUUCUAACUUUAUUGUAUUUAUGAUCGUAUUCUGCAAAUGGUAGAGUAAAAUUGGAAAUUUAUUGUCUUUAAAUCAAAAGCUUUCAGAGAUGCCAAAAGCAAAAUCUCAAUUAUUUAGAUCCUCAUCAAAUAGACGGCAAAUUCAGCUAAGAUGAAAUGAGACGGUCGACGAGAGUGCAAAUCGCGUAGAGAAUGUAAGGUUGCAAAUGAUGCAGAAUAGACAAGGGGCGAUUGCUUUCAAAUCAGCGUUUAACUAUAGACAGGAUUGUAAUUAUUUGGACCAUUCCCUUUUAUUCAUUGGUCGAAUGAAUGGCAUUUGCAAUUUUUGUAAGGCUAAAAAGUGGGUGAAAGAGGCACCAGGUUUGUGUUGUAGCAAGAGACAUGCAAGUGAGACAUAUAGGUGAGCCUUCGCUGACAAUCAAAGCGCUGCUUUGAGGUGAGCAUCAGUCGUCCUGUCACUUAAAAAAAAUAUAAGAAAAUGCAAUGGUUGUGACUUCGUUUGGUGGUAAUGAAAUUAGGGAGGGUAAUUUCAUGCCAACGUUUAAAAUACAUGGACAAGUUUACCACGUUAUUGGGAGUUUAUUGCCAGCGCCGAACGCAACACCAAAAUUUAAAUUGACUGCCAAUAUGCGAAUAAAUCUUUGUGGAGCUGGACCAUCCAAUCGGUUUGCAGAGUUCCUACUUAAAAUAGGUAACGGUUGCAAAUCUGUCACCAA